UACAGAGGUUGCAAGCGUUAUCCGGAUUUAUUGGGCGUAAAGCGUUUCGUAGGCGGAUUUGUAAGUUACUCUUCAAAUACUCCGGCUCAACCGGAGGAAGGGGGGUAAUACUGCAAGUCUUUGACUAUUGGUGGGGUUUCCGGAACUGAUGGUGUAGUAGUGAAAUACGUUGAUAUCAUCAGGAACUCCGAGGGCGAAGGCAGGAAACUGACCAGUGAGUAACGCUGAGGAACGACAGCUAGGGGAGCGA
Molecule: ribosomal RNA, 250 nt
Filed under: uncultured bacterium
Lineage: Bacteria
Description: partial 16S ribosomal RNA
Rfam family: Bacterial small subunit ribosomal RNA
Source: RNAcentral